UUUUGUUGCCAACAGUGAGCAGUGAAACACUUGUGGCUUAUUUAUGGAUAUUCCGCUAUUGUCUAUGGAAAUGGUCUGAUGUUGUUUAAAGGAAUAUUCUCUUGUCGUUGAUAGGAUAUAGAGGAAAGCACACGGCAGAAGUUGAUUCCUGCAGUGGACCAACGGAACCAUGGAUAGAAAAUAUGUCAUAGCAAUUGCUGUAUGUGCGACUGUGAUAGUCGUCAUCAUCGUCAUCGUCGUUGUCGUCGUGGCUCUGUUAAUCAGACGUCGGAGGAGGGUUGUUCGAGUUAUAAAUAUCCCCAUACCCUCACCAGCAAAUUGCAGGAGGAAAAGCAAUGAUGAGGACAACCCGCCUGGAACCACUGACGGAUCAGGCAGUACUGUGGAGGAGA
This 392-nucleotide long non-coding RNA is filed under the name Haliotis rufescens (red abalone). RNAcentral describes it as "uncharacterized LOC125374182, transcript variant X1". Lineage: Eukaryota; Metazoa; Mollusca; Gastropoda; Lepetellida; Haliotidae. The record is from RNAcentral.